This 1422-nucleotide long non-coding RNA is filed under the name Sus scrofa (pig). RNAcentral describes it as "lncRNA (ENSSSCG00030030483.1)". Lineage: Eukaryota; Metazoa; Chordata; Mammalia; Artiodactyla; Suidae. The record is from RNAcentral.
GUAUUUAUUUAGCAUGUAAGGGCCCAGAUCAUGGUCCCUGCUUGUAAGGAUCUUGGCAUCUUAUUAGGAAAAACAUACAUAUAAAAUCAGUAUGAGAACAUGUCAGGUGCUCUGAAUAUCAGUACAUGUUUUUGUUUGUUUUAAAAAAUAUCAUGCUAAUUACCACUUACUACAAUUAGUUUUACUGGAAAUAUUUUGUUUGAUUGAACAUGAGGUCCGUGGACUCAAACAUGUUAGUGAUCAUUAUUGACAGUGAAAUCACUGUUCUAGUUAAUGUGAGUUAAGAGAAUGACCUCCGAUUUAUUAUUAAUAUUAAAAACAUCACCUGUUUCCCACAGAAAAUAGCCAAAGAAUUAAAAUAUAAGGAUGGAAAUCUUGUGGCAAUAUUGUGGUAGCUCUUUGCAUCCAAUCUACUCCUCAUAGGGAAAGAGAGAAGACAUUAUUUCUAAACACUUAUAUGGUGGAUAUUAUUAAAAAUUUCCUUGGAAUUUGAAUGCCUAUUUGACUUUCAGGCAAAUUUUACAUUCAAUGUUUAGAAAUUGAAACAUUUAUGUUAUUACAUUAUUUAAUUAUGGUGUAUUACUUGCCUGACUGAAGAAUAAAAGAAUAUUCUUGCUCAACUGAAAACCAAUGUACCCAACUUAUAAUUUUUCUAAUUUGAAAUAAUUAUACUACACAAAGUGCAAAGCCAUUUAUUAUAUUUGAUUCAUCACAUCAAUUUUCCUUUAAAUCAUUUAGAUAUUAUAUGCCUUGCAAGAAUCAUUUAUGCAGUAUGUGACAAAUUCCAAGAACAGAAGUAAUAAUGCAUGCACUUUACGUCUGAGAAAAUAUGCCAAACCAUUUAAACAGAGGGAAUUCCUACAUUUGUUUACAUGGAAAAAUAAAAGAUGAAAGGAAAAAAUCGGAGAAGGGAGAUAUAUGAAUCCACUAGGAAUAUAGCAGAUGGAGAAUUUGACUGGACACAGUUGCAGCUCAGAAGCAAAUUACUGAGGUGGAGAAUUACAAAGCUCUUCUUAUCUCAGGAAAUACACAUUGUCUAAUUCUGAAGAGAACAUGUGAAACUCAACAACUGAAACGUUUCUCUGAGUUUUGUGGGCAGAACAGUGUCCUUGGAUGGUUGAAAAUGCUGUGAGAAAUUAAGGCCAAAGAAUAGUUCUUGAGAUUGAGUCCUAUCGUAUAUCUUAUCCAUUGCUUACUCUCACAGAGCUGAACACAAGAACCAGAAGUAUUUAUUCCUGUUCACCAAGGUGGAAAUCACAAGCAAUGACAGCUCAGACUCUGUCAGGUAUUCUCAACUGCAAAAAUGAGCUCUCAGUCAGUAACCACCAAAUCAAUGAGGUGUGUGCCAGGACCAUCAGAGGCAACAAAAUGUUAGGCCCAAGAAAAAAUGGAUAUUGAAAAUAAAUUCAAUAGAUUUGUUCA